This 933-nucleotide long non-coding RNA is filed under the name Phoenix dactylifera (date palm). RNAcentral describes it as "long non-coding RNA (PDAC_LNC001540)". The record is from RNAcentral. Lineage: Eukaryota; Viridiplantae; Streptophyta; Magnoliopsida; Arecales; Arecaceae.
UCUCACUUUUAGGUCCUUUUAACUGCAUAUGUUUUUAGCUAACAGAAUGACAAGUUGGGAUGGGACAUCUUUCUUGCUUUCUGGAUUUAUGCAUUUUUCAUGCAAAGCUGCUCUAUUAUGGCAGCUUAAAUGGAUCCAAAGUGGUGAACUCUGAUAAAUUACACCCUUUUGUGGUAAGUUUGCAGAAACCUGAUAAAUUAGGGGAGCUUCAUUAAUUACAGUUUCAAGAAAUACGGUGAUAAGGAAUAAGAAACAGGUUCAGAAUCCAGGGAUAAGUUGGGCAACACAGCUUAAUGCUCUCUAUGUUUAGUUGAUAAAGAGAGGGGAAGAGAGGGCUGGUGGGGGCGCUGAUUUAAGGGGACUCCUGAAGGAUUGCACUCAAGGAUUGCAGUAUUGGUAGAGAAGAUUAAAUUUAGCUUCACUGGCAUGGCAUAUAACGUAGUAGCUGCUCUGGUAAGAUUCUGAAUAAGUUUUGUUGAACAAUAGCAUGAUAGCAUAUAUAAAUCAGAAAAUUAUUAUAGAAGGAUGAGAUUGCACAUAUCAUCAGCAGAGGGCAUUGCCUUGUCCUAAUUUUAGAUCAACAUCUGACCUAGCUGAAAUUAUUGAAAAUGUCAAGGUCAGCAAUCUUGUUACGUAAAUAUCAAAUGCAAUAACUUCCUAUUGAAUGGACAAAAUCUGGCUCCUCUUUCAAUAUGCAUAUUUAUAAUAAAAAAAUCAAAUUUCAAUCGGUAUUAAAAAAAUAAAAGCCUUUCGAAAAUAAGGAAGGUACAUUGUGCUGAACUCUCUAGAUCUUUAGCUCGUAAGAACAAAGAGGCAUUCAAGAAAUUCAAUCAGUUUUAGCACGGUUGCUUUCAUGCAUGUGUCGUUCAUGUCUUUGUUGAAGUGCAGGUUCCCAAACUGUCAAAAAAAUUAGUGUUAACAAAAAAAAAAAAA